This 179-nucleotide non-coding RNA is filed under the name Mahella australiensis. Lineage: Bacteria; Bacillati; Bacillota; Clostridia; Mahellales; Mahellaceae. The record is from RNAcentral. RNAcentral also lists the same sequence under 1 other name.
GUUGAACUUUACGAUAUAGGUGCUUUAUAGCUUUGCCUAUAAGUUAAAAGGGAAGUCGGGUGCAAAUCCCGCGCGGUCCCGCCACUGUAAGGGGAGCGAUGACGUGUCACUGGGAAACUGGGAAGACAAAAAUCGCUAUGAACCUGAGCCAGGAAACCUGCCUAUGUCGGUGUGCUAAC